Nicotiana attenuata is the source of this 964-nucleotide long non-coding RNA. RefSeq lists it as uncharacterized. The record is from RefSeq and is a predicted model, not a curated record. The transcript has 2 exons. Lineage: Eukaryota; Viridiplantae; Streptophyta; Magnoliopsida; Solanales; Solanaceae.
GCUUUAUUAUUUUUUAACAAAAAAUUAGACGCUCUUUUUAAUAAAUGAAAAAAUUAACAAAAAUUAGACGCUCUUAAUGAAAAGAAAAACGCUCUUCUCUCCUCUUCUUUCCAUGCUUAUUCAUUCAACCAAAAUCAACCCCUCAAUAAACCUAGAAUAAACCCUUUAAUUUUUGCUCCUAGAAUUUAUUUUUUUCACAUGUCGAAUAGUAUGUUUAUUUAUUUACCAAAGAAGCAAGGUGGUAUCUUUUUUUUUUCCCUAUUGCAUUUUCAGGAAAUUACAAGGGAACUAAAAAUAACAUUCUGUAGCAUAAGCUGGUAGACUUUUCUUACACUGAUCAAUAAUAUUUUCAGACUCAAUAGGGUUGAAAAUUAUACAUUCGCCCAUCCAAAAGUCAAAAAAUGACUUAUACUACGAAAUAUUUUUCUUAAAUUCUGUCAUACUGAACCCACACAUAAUUUAUGGAUAAGCUGAUUCCACCCUUUGGACUUGCUAUAAAAAAAAUCAUAUUUGGAGGCAAAGUGGAACAAGAUAUAUAGGUAUAUAGUGAAGCCUAGGCGAGGAAAUUAAAAAUGUCUAUCAACAAGAACAAAGUUACAUGGCCUCUGUUAAUGCUGGUUUUCUUUGUACUCUGCAUGAAUUCGUGGUGUGAAUAUGGUGAAGCAUCAAGAAUCUUCUUAGACUUCUCUGCAAUUCCAGUGACGCAAAGGCUGGGCGGACUAGACCGCAGCAACCGCCGGAGCACCAGGGAGUCGCCGGGAGGGAGCUAUCCUGCUCCGGCAGCUAAUGUAAAUGACCAUGUACAUCACUAGCUACUGUUUGAUGGAUUAUGUAUGUAACUGGAUCAACAUAUAUAUGGUGACCUCUAUUUUGUUAUGGGCUUCCCACUUAUAUAAUAAGAAGACAUUGUUUGUCUGUGUUUAAGAUAUUUUUCUAUGAAAGCAAUGAGAAUAAAUUUUACUUA